Molecule: transfer RNA, 75 nt
Filed under: Armatimonadota bacterium
Lineage: Bacteria; Bacillati; Armatimonadota
Description: Armatimonadetes bacterium (activated sludge metagenome) tRNA-Thr
Rfam family: tRNA
About the family: Transfer RNA (tRNA) molecules are approximately 80 nucleotides in length. Their secondary structure includes four short double-helical elements and three loops (D, anti-codon, and T loops).
Source: RNAcentral
GCCGAAGUAGCUCAGGGGCAGAGCGCGUCUUUGGUAAAGACGAGGUCACGGGUUCGAUUCCCGUCUUCGGCUCCA